GUCCACGCCCUAAACGAUGUCAACUAGGUGUUGGGAGCGCAAGUUCUCAGUACCGCAGCUAACGCGUGAAGUUGACCGCCUGGGGAGUACGGUCGCAAGAUUAAAACUCAAAGGAAUUGACGGGGACCCCGCACAAGCGGUGGAUGAUGUGGAUUAAUUCGAUGCAACGCGAACAACCUUACCUACCCUUGACAUGUCUGGGACCCUGCUGAAAGGCGGGGGUGCCCGAAAGGGAACCGGAACACAGGUGCUGCAUGGCUGUCGU
This 265-nucleotide ribosomal RNA is filed under the name uncultured bacterium. Its description in RNAcentral is "partial 16S ribosomal RNA". It matches the Rfam family "Bacterial small subunit ribosomal RNA", at positions 793 to 1055 of the family's 1533-position model. The record is from RNAcentral.